AGAGUUUGAUCAUGGCUCAGGAUGAACGCUAGCGGCAGGCCUAAUACAUGCAAGUCGAGGGGUAAGAGUCAGCUUGCUGACUACACGACCGGCGCACGGGUGCGUAACGCGUAUGCAACCUACCUUUAACAGAGGAAUAGCCCCGAGAAAUCGGGAUUAAUACCACAUAACAUUAUGAUAUGGCAUCAUAUUAUAAUUAAAACUCCGGUGGUUAAAGAUGGGCAUGCGUGACAUUAGCUAGUUGGUGAGGUAACUGCUCACCAAGGCUACGAUGUCUAGGGGUUCUGAGAGGAUGAUCCCCCACACUGGUACUGAGACACAGACCAGACUCCUACGGGAGGCAGCAGUAAGGAAUAUUGCGCAAUGGAGGCAACUCUGACGCAGCCAUGCCGCGUGCAGGAUUGAAGGCCUUAUGGGUCGUAAACUGCUUUUAUUUAGGAAUAA
RNAcentral lists this ribosomal RNA (444 nucleotides) under uncultured marine bacterium. Its description in RNAcentral is "bacterial SSU rRNA". It matches the Rfam family "Bacterial small subunit ribosomal RNA", at positions 8 to 449 of the family's 1533-position model. The record is from RNAcentral.